CAACAUUCAGGAAUCAUUCGCUCUUCUCAAAUUCUCUACUAAUCUGAAGUUUCUGUAAUGAAUUAUAGAUAUGAACUGAACUUUCAGUAUCCAAUACUCAGAUAGUAGUAUCAUAGAUAGAGAAAUUAUAAGAUGUUAUCAUAUAGGAUCUUGUCCAGCAACCCUUUACUGAUUUCUUUUUCUAGGCCUGUCUAUUUCUACCUGACUCUGAUCUGUCUUAGACUGCUUAGGAU
Molecule: long non-coding RNA, 233 nt
Filed under: Elaeis guineensis (African oil palm)
Lineage: Eukaryota; Viridiplantae; Streptophyta; Magnoliopsida; Arecales; Arecaceae
Description: long non-coding RNA (EGUI_LNC019851)
Source: RNAcentral